RNAcentral lists this ribosomal RNA (883 nucleotides) under uncultured bacterium. RNAcentral describes it as "bacterial SSU rRNA". It matches the Rfam family "Bacterial small subunit ribosomal RNA", at positions 44 to 921 of the family's 1533-position model. The record is from RNAcentral.
GCGCAGCUACACAUGCAAGUCGAGCGGAGAUGAGGUGCUUGCACCUUAUCUUAGCGGCGGACGGGUGAGUAAUGCUUAGGAAUCUGCCUAUUAGUGGGGGACAACAUUCCGAAAGGGAUGCUAAUACCGCAUACGUCCUACGGGAGAAAGCAGGGGAUCUUCGGACCUUGCGCUAAUAGAUGAGCCUAAGUCGGAUUAGCUAGUUGGUGGGGUAAAGGCCUACCAAGGCGACGAUCUGUAGCGGGUCUGAGAGGAUGAUCCGCCACACUGGGACUGAGACACGGCCCAGACUCCUACGGGAGGCAGCAGUGGGGAAUAUUGGACAAUGGGGGGAACCCUGAUCCAGCCAUGCCGCGUGUGUGAAGAAGGCCUUAUGGUUGUAAAGCACUUUAAGUGAGGAGGAGGCUACUGAGACUAAUACUCUUGGAUAGUGGACGUUACUCGCAGAAUAAGCACCGGCUAACUCUGUGCCAGCAGCCGCGGUAAUACAGAGGGUGCGAGCGUUAAUCGGAUUUACUGGGCGUAAAGCGUGCGUAGGCGGCUUUUAAGUCGGAUGUGAAAUCCCCGAGCUUAACUUGGGAAUUGCAUUCGAUACUGGGAAGCUAGAGUAUGGGAGAGGAUGGUAGAAUUCCAGGUGUAGCGGUGAAAUGCGUAGAGAUCUGGAGGAAUACCGAUGGCGAAGGCAGCCACCUGGCCUAAUACUGACGCUGAGGUACGAAAGCAUGGGGAGCAAACAGGAUUAGAUACCCUGGUAGUCCAUGCCGUAAACGAUGUCUACUAGCCGUUGGGGCCUUUGAGGCUUUAGUGACGCAGCUAACGCGAUAAGUAGACCGCCUGGGGAGUACGGUCGCAAGACUAAAACUCAAAUGAAUUGACGGGGGCC